CGGCGAGUGAAGCGGCAAUAGCUCAAAUUUGAAAUCUGGCUUUCUUUGGGAGCCCGAGUUGUAAUUUGCAGAGGGUGCUUUGGCUUUGGUAGCGGUCUAAGUUUCUUGGAACAGGACAUCACAGAGGGUGAGAAUCCCGUAUGUGAUCGCUCUCCAUCGCCGUGUAAAGCCCCUUCGACGAGUCGAGUUGUUUGGGAAUGCAGCUCUAAAUGGGAGGUAAAUUUCUUCUAAAGCUAAAUACUGGCCAGAGACCGAUAGCGCACAAGUAGAGUGAUCGAAAGAUGAAAAGCACUUUGGAAAGAGAGUCAAACAGCACGUGAAAUUGUUGAAAGGGAAGCGCUUGCAGCCAGACUUGCCCGUUGUUGCUCAUCUAGGCUUCUGCCUGGAGCAUUCGACGGCGGGCAGGCCAGCAUCAGUUUGGGCGGCCGGAUAAAGACCUCUGUCAAGUAUCUUCCUUCGGGAUGACCUUAUAGGGGAGGUGUAACACGGCCAGUCCGGACUGAGGUCCGCGCAUCUGCUAGGAUGCUGGCGUAAUGGCUGUAAGCGGCCCGUCUUGAAACACGGACCAAGGAGUCUAACAUCUAUGCGAGUGUUUGGGUGUCAAGCCCGGGCGCGCAAUGAAAGUGAACGGAGGUGGGAACCCUCUUUGGGGGUGCACCAUCGACCGAUCCUGAAGUCUUCGGAUGGAUUUGAGUAAGAGCAUAGCUGUUGGGACCCGAAAGAUGGUGAACUAUGCUUGAAUAGGGUGAAGCCAGAGGAAACUCUGGUGGAGGCUCGCAGCGGUUCUGACGUGCAAAUCGAUCGUCAAAUUUGGGCAUAGGGGCGAAA
Molecule: ribosomal RNA, 828 nt
Filed under: Triseptata sexualis
Lineage: Eukaryota; Fungi; Ascomycota; Dothideomycetes; Pleosporales; Latoruaceae
Description: Pleosporales sp. SB-2020a partial large subunit ribosomal RNA
Rfam family: Eukaryotic large subunit ribosomal RNA
Source: RNAcentral